Leptinotarsa decemlineata (Colorado potato beetle) is the source of this 1185-nucleotide long non-coding RNA. Lineage: Eukaryota; Metazoa; Arthropoda; Insecta; Coleoptera; Chrysomelidae. The record is from RefSeq and is a predicted model, not a curated record.
UAGGCAAGUGUGUUAUAUCAUUUCCAUGGAUUCCAAACUUUGAUGAAGAAUAGUCUUGAAUCCCUUGGUGUCCUUUGUGAAUGGUGAUGAUGCCCCCGUCCCCACGACUACGGACGUUGAAGAUGACCCAGAAAUGAACAAGACUCGAAUAUUCAUAAUUUCUGAUGGCAACAGCACCGCGAUUCCAGAGGGUACUGUACAAGCUGACGACAUAAAUUUAGGUGAAACUUUAUCACCGGAUCCUGCAAGUAACUUUUUACAAAUUUCAAAUCUGAAACACAAGAUUUUGGGACACCAUGCUCUCAGUAUACUACAGAACAUAUCUCCUAUAGUGAAACCGCUCCAAGAGAAACUACAGCGAUUCAAAGAUUAUGUGAAUCAUCCAAAUAGUCCACAUAUAACCAUUCCCCUCUUCAGACCACUUCAGUUGCUGAACGGCCUCCAGCAGAAUGGAAAUUAUUUUCUAUCAGGCAUCAAUAGCGCUAUUUUUGGAUUGGCCAACUUGGACAACUACGAUUACCCGUUUCCUUACAGAAGAGCUGGAUUGAUUGGGAAGAAAGAAGCAACUAAAAGUGUCGAAAAUAUCUGACUGAGUGCAUCUGAUGCAACUAAAAAAUGAUAGAUAAUUAUAUUGGUGUCGACGAAUGUCCGAAAACCUUAGAAACGGCUAUGAUUUUUAUGUUUUUUUUGAAGUAUCUGAAGUCAUAAACCUUUUGGAGCGGGGGACAUAAUUAUUUAUAUUGUUUUAAUAAUGUUUAUAAUAUUUAUAUAAAAUUCAGUUUCGCCUGUUUUUUUUAAUAAUUCGUAUAUUAUUUAUUUACUAGAGUACACAGAUCUUCACAUAAUAACAAUGACACGGAUGUUGAAGUGGUUUUGAUGGAUAUAAUAAUGGUAGAGAAAUUUCAACCAGUUAUUUAAUAGCUUCUAAAGAAACAGUUGAAAGUUAUGUCAUUUCAAAUAGUUAUUUUUUAAAAACCCCAUUCUUCGAAAUGUAAUGUUGAACUCACAAAUAAACUCUAUAUUUCAUUAUUAUUUUAUUCAAGUUUUGCUAUAUACACUAUCGGAGGUAACAAACUGGGUUGUACCUGUAGUAUUUUCAGAUAUAUACCAAAUCGAUAGAUUAAUCUUGUAUGAUAAAAGCAGCAGGCAUGUACUGGAUAAGGAAUAUACGACUUUGUUUGCAAA